AAAGUUUUAAGUUAAUUAAACUAUUAACCUUCAAAGUUAAUUAUAAGGAAAUAUUUAAACCUUAAGCUUUA
RNAcentral lists this transfer RNA (71 nucleotides) under Gorpis annulatus. RNAcentral's name for it is "tRNA-Trp". The record is from RNAcentral. Lineage: Eukaryota; Metazoa; Arthropoda; Insecta; Hemiptera; Nabidae.